UACAGAGGUCCCAAGCGUUGUUCGGAUUCACUGGGCGUAAAGGGUGCGUAGGCGGUCGGGUAAGUCUGGCGUGAAAUCUCCAAGCCUAACUUGGAAACUGCGUUGGAUACUAUCCGGCUCGAGGAAUGGAGGGGAGACUGGAAUACUUGGUGUAGCAGUGAAAUGCGUAGAUAUCAAGAGGAACACCUGAGGUGAAGACGGGUUGCUGGGCCGACACUGACGCUGAGUGCGCGAAAGCCAGGGGAGCAAACGGG
Molecule: ribosomal RNA, 254 nt
Filed under: uncultured bacterium
Lineage: Bacteria
Description: partial 16S ribosomal RNA
Rfam family: Bacterial small subunit ribosomal RNA
Source: RNAcentral